GAUGAACGCUAGCGGCAGGCUUAACACAUGCAAGUCGAGGGGUAUUGGUUUUCGGACCAAGAGACCGGCGCACGGGUGCGUAACGCGUAUGCAAUCUACCUUUUGCAGAGGGAUAGCCCAGAGAAAUUUGGAUUAAUACCUCAUAGUAUAGUACUUUGGCAUCAAGGAACUAUUAAAGUCACAACGGCAAAAGAUGAGCAUGCGUCCCAUUAGCUAGUUGGUAAGGUAACGGCUUACCAAGGCUACGAUGGGUAGGGGUCCUGAGAGGGAGAUCCCCCCACACUGGUACUGAGACACGGACCAGACUCCUACGGGAGGCAGCAGUGAGGAAUAUUGGACAAUGGGCGCAAGCCUGAUCCAGCCAUGCCGCGUGCAGGAUGAAGGCC
RNAcentral lists this ribosomal RNA (386 nucleotides) under uncultured bacterium. RNAcentral describes it as "bacterial SSU rRNA". It matches the Rfam family "Bacterial small subunit ribosomal RNA", at positions 28 to 416 of the family's 1533-position model. The record is from RNAcentral.